CCCGCUGAACUUAAGCAUAUCAGUAAGCGGAGGAAAAGAAACUAACAAGGAUUCCCUCAGUAGCGGCGAGCGAAGCGGGAACAGCUCAAAUUUAAAAUCUGGCUCCCGGAUGGGUGUCCGAAUUGUAAUUGAGAGGGUCUCCUUUUGGCGACCUGGGAUGGUCAAAGUUCUCUGGAAAGGGACAACAAAGAGGGUGACAUUCCCGUCUGGAUCAUCUCGGGCCGUCAGGAUAAAGGAGGCUCCAAGAGUCGGAUUGUUUGGGAAUGCAGUCCAAAAUGGGUGGUACAUUUCAUCUAAAGCUAAAUAUUGGCAAGAGACCGAUAGCGAACAAGUACCGUGAGGGAAAGAUGAAAAGAACUUUGAAAAGAGAGUUAAAUAGUACGUGAAAUUGUUAAAAGGGAAACGAUUGAGACCAGUGAUGUCUCGGUCCUUGAGCUUGCCCUCCGGGGCCUGCGUCUGGGCUGUGACAAGUCGACGCUCCUUCUGGCGGGUGGAAAAGACUGGCGGAAAGGUGGCUCCACCUUCGGGUGGCUGCUUUAUAGUCCGUCAGGGAUACAUCCCUCGGGAGGAGAGAGGUAGGGCCGCAAGGCUCACGUCGACGAAAUGGUCUUAAACGACCCGUCUUGAAACACGG
This 634-nucleotide ribosomal RNA is filed under the name uncultured fungus. Its description in RNAcentral is "eukaryotic LSU rRNA". It matches the Rfam family "Eukaryotic large subunit ribosomal RNA", at positions 24 to 664 of the family's 3401-position model. Lineage: Eukaryota; Fungi. The record is from RNAcentral.